This is a long non-coding RNA of Lemur catta (Ring-tailed lemur), 353 nucleotides long. RefSeq lists it as uncharacterized. Lineage: Eukaryota; Metazoa; Chordata; Mammalia; Primates; Lemuridae. The transcript is spliced from 3 exons. The record is from RefSeq and is a predicted model, not a curated record.
UGCCAGGCACUCUCCCUCACUGCCUUGGGGGCAUAAUUUUGCACAGCCUGUGAAAGACUAUGGGGAUUAUGGGUCAGGCUGACAAAUGCACAAUGUGAGCCAGUCAUUCGCCUUCUAGCGAUUUGUGUCCUUCAUAUUCCAACAUCCAUGCAGAACGACUCAAGUACCAGGGGGAAUCUGCCCAUGGAAGCACCACUGCCCUCAUCCGGUGGGAAUGUCUGUGAGCGGUGGUGGCCCUCAUAGCGGGCAGCCAGUGGCCUGCAGGGGACACCCACAUUCUUCACAUUGGCUCUUUCAGCAAUGACGGUUAUACAUGUGUUAUGCAAGGUGUGUGCCUUUCAUACAGACGUGAC